UACAUUGAGAGAGACUGGUCUUCAAUCAUCAAAUUUGAUUUCUUGGUAUUGAAAUACCAAAAGCAAUGACAAGCAAUGAAUAGUCAGGUGAUAUGUGAGGUUUUGCUUCCAUAGGUUGAUGGCUUGGUGAUUGAGGAUGCAGUAAUUUGUAGUGACAUCCAUGUUUUGGCUUCAUUAAUUAGGAGGAACCAAAGCUGCAAAGGAGGUUUUUGAGCUCAUGAUGUCACAGUUUUACGUACUUCUUUGUGUCACAGUUGUCAAACUGACGUCUCAAUAUUUUCUUGCGAACGAAGCUGACCUCUUAGGCAAUAGUUUUUUUCCCUUACUGUGAAUACAUCCGUCCAAUUCCUCUUCAAAUUGGGCUCGAUUGCAAUAGUUGUUUUUUACAUGAAUUCAUUUGAACUGAUGUUGUGCUCUG
This 418-nucleotide small RNA is filed under the name Oryza sativa Japonica Group (Japanese rice). RNAcentral's name for it is "misc RNA Os03g0454300". Lineage: Eukaryota; Viridiplantae; Streptophyta; Magnoliopsida; Poales; Poaceae. The record is from RNAcentral.